UACGGAGGGUGCAAGCGUUUAUCCGGGAUUCACUGGGUUUAAAGGGUGCGUAGGUGGGCAGGUAAAGUCCGUGGUGAAAAUCUCUGAGCUUUAACUCAGAAACUGCCGUGGAUACUAUUUGUCUUGAAUGUUGUGGAGGUGAGCGGAAUAAUGUCAUGUAGCGGUGAAAUGCUUAGAUAUGACAUAGAACACCAAUUGCGAAGGCAGCUUACUGGGCUGUAACUGACGCUGAUGCACGAAAGUGUGGGAUCAAACAGG
Molecule: ribosomal RNA, 258 nt
Filed under: uncultured bacterium
Lineage: Bacteria
Description: partial 16S ribosomal RNA
Rfam family: Bacterial small subunit ribosomal RNA
Source: RNAcentral